This 429-nucleotide ribosomal RNA is filed under the name uncultured eukaryote. Its description in RNAcentral is "SSU rRNA". It matches the Rfam family "Eukaryotic small subunit ribosomal RNA", at positions 592 to 1018 of the family's 1831-position model. The record is from RNAcentral.
CAGUAGCGUAUAUUAAAGUUGUUGCAGUUAAAAAGCUCGUAGUUGGAUUUCUGCUUGUAGCGUUGGGCCCGCCGGGGUUACCCGUGUGAGUGCCUGUUCGCUCCUUGCAUCCUUCUAGAGAACGGCUCUCUCCUUCAUUGGUUGUGGGGUCGCAAUCUAGAUCUUUUACUUUGAAAAAUUAGAGUGUUUAAAGCAGGCUUGUGCUAUGAAUACAUUAGCAUGGAAUAAUAAUUUAGGACUUUAGUUCUAUUUUGUUGGUUUCUAGGACUGAAGUAAUGAUUGAUAGGGAUAGUUGGGGGUGCUAGUAUUCAGCGGCCAGAGGUGAAAUUCUUGGAUUCGCUGAAGACUAACUUAUGCGAAAGCAUUCACCAAGGAUGUUUUCAUUAAUCAAGAACGAAAGUUGGGGGCUCGAAGACGAUUAGAUACCAU